This 253-nucleotide ribosomal RNA is filed under the name uncultured bacterium. RNAcentral's name for it is "partial 16S ribosomal RNA". It matches the Rfam family "Bacterial small subunit ribosomal RNA", at positions 524 to 776 of the family's 1533-position model. The record is from RNAcentral.
UACGAAGGGGGCUAGCGUUGCUCGGAAUCACUGGGCGUACAGGGUGCGUAGGCGGGUCUUUAAGUCAGGGGGGAAAUCCUGGAGCUCAACUCCAGAACUGCCUUUGAUACUGAAGAUCUUGAGUUCGGGAGAGGUGAGUGGAACUGCGAGUGUAGAGGUGAAAUUCGUAGAUAUUCGCAAGAACACCAGUGGCGAAGGCGGCUCACUGGCCCGAUACUGACGCUGAGGCACGAAAGCGUGGGGAGCAAACAGG